This is a small nuclear RNA of Jaculus jaculus (lesser Egyptian jerboa), 107 nucleotides long. The record is from Ensembl. NCBI's taxonomy places the organism in Eukaryota, Metazoa, Chordata, Mammalia, Rodentia, Dipodidae.
GGGCUCUCUAUGGCAGCACUUAUACUAAAAUUGCUAUGAUACAGAAAAGAUUAACAUGGCUCUUGCUCAAGGAUGACAUGCAUAUUUGUGAAGUACCCCAUAUUUAA